Molecule: long non-coding RNA, 14022 nt
Filed under: Triticum aestivum (bread wheat)
Lineage: Eukaryota; Viridiplantae; Streptophyta; Magnoliopsida; Poales; Poaceae
Description: long non-coding RNA (TAES_LNC017498)
Source: RNAcentral
UCCGCUCCCUCCUCUCUCCCGCUAGAUAGCGCGCGUAUCUAGCUUCCGCCUCCGCCCUAGUGGUGUACCCUUUGUAAUUGUUACCGCUGAAACGGUGAACCUGUCUCCGACACUCCUCCCAGUCGUCGUAGACUCCGGGAACCUUACCCUUGUACACGACAUACGACGGCAUCUCUAUGCACUAGACAAUAAAACGUUAGUAGCAAUUCACAGAUAAUAUAUAAGCAAUAUAUACGUAUGCAACAAAAGGAUCGGAAGAGAAAAGAAACACAUUAAUAGCACGAUUCAUGGUCCUACUAAUAAAUAGCAUCGAUUACAUAUAAGUUGAACGACUGUCCAAACUAAAGAGACAUACAAGUUCAUUAAAGUUUAAUUACAACAUGAGCUAAUCGAUAUUUCAGAACUACAUAGCAUCAUUACUUUCGACUCAACUCAGGGACCGGAGCGUGGAUGAAGCCGCCGUCUUUUGUGAUGGUCAUGAAUGUGCGGUCGUUGUCAGCCAGCAUUUGCAGCGUUGUUUCUAUUUCACUGUUGGACGGUUGAUAUUUGAGGUAGAACUGCCCCGAGGUACGAAGGACAUCUUGAUAGAUGAUUUCCGCAAACUCCGACUGGAUGCGAAAGAAUUCUUGUCUGAUGUCUUCGUCCUGGAUUGCCGACAAGCGUGCGGCCCAAUCUUUGAGAUUAUUUGGUAGCAUAAGGUGAUUAUGGUCCCGUACGACCGCCCGCAUGUGAUGGAGGGCGUAGUAGGCAUCCUUCUGACUGCCAGGCGGCUGCUUGACGCAGGGGAACGUCGUUACAUGGGUGAACACGUGCUUGGCGUACCUACAAAUUGGCCUCCUGAAGGUGCCUCCAGAUUUGGCGUAGCCGGGGAGAGCAUCAUCAAGAAAUUUCUUCAUAUUUGUGUAGUCUUUCUUCGACUGACGGUCCGAGUCGAAAUACGUAGCCAUGGAAUAUUUCGGGCUUAAGAGGAUGAGUGUGCAAUAUGUGUCACUGCACAAAACAUGGAAUGUUAGAAAAAAAAGAACGAUCGAAAUCUAAGAAAUCAUAUGUUACGUGGCGGUGAGGGAAUGACUUACUCGGAAAAGUAAGGCACGAGGAAGUUACCCUUAUCUGGGUUCGCCAGAAUGAUGCCUUCGAGGUAUGAACUCGCGACUUGCCGGUCCCCAGCGCUGCCCAAGAUCUUGGCACGCAUGUAGAAGGGGUCGACUAUCACGAUGUCCGGGGUCUUGUCUCUAAUGAUCCGCAUCUCCAUACUGAGCGAAAAUAGCCGAAUGAAGGUGUAGUGCAGCAGAUGAAGGUUAAACAUAGCGAAGAUGUCAUCAAACCGCAGGACGAUCAUACGCCCGAUGGUGCUAUCGACAAAGCCCUUGCCCUCUGGCACCUGGGCCACGAAAACCGGGUAUGCCACAUCAUUCUCGGAGAGACGCCGCUUCUCCAUAGAAAUAACACUGUCAUGCAGACUCCGCAUAGCACCGGUUGCAGCAUUGAGCAGAUUAGUCGGUAGCAUCGGCCUACCCGCCACAUGCACCCUCCUCGAGAUAUCCUUAGGUAUUGGUGGCCCAUCCUGAGCACGGAUCGUACUCGGUGCCGGUUGGCUCGCACCCUUGUUAUUUUUUCUUUUCCAUCCCUUCUGCUUCUUCUGCUGUAAUGGGAUCGAGUUCUGCUCAGAGACCACCUUCUUGAGUGUGUUGGGGCUGAUAAUAUUUCGCACCUCGGCUAUUUGAUGCUCAGUGAAGGCGGCAGCUGGAGGCGUCUCCUGAGAACCGAACGCCAGACAACGCCUGUUGCAACUGGGUUUCUCCGCGGUACCAGCUAGAUCGCGAUCGUCUUUUGCAGGGUUGGGUUCUUAAGAAGGAGGCCCCAAGAAUUCGUCACCGUACCCAUGUUCGUUGAAGUACUUAUCGAUGUUGGAAAAUGUACCGUCGUCGUCGUCAUCCGGAUCCUGUGCCAUAUGCAUGUCCGGAUCAGCUGACGGCGGUAGCCUUGCGGCGGUCUUGCCAUGGCUUGGCGCUGGCACGACUGGCGGUGUUGUCUGUGGGAUGGUGCCCCGCCCCCAAACGAAUCUGGCUCUUCGGCCAAAGCAUGGACCAGCUUAUGCAGGCGCUGAGGGUCAUCACAUCAUCUUCGUCGGCCCCAGGGGGUCGAUACGGAGGUAACAAGUCGUCGCAGUCCCGCAGCACGCGAACCAGUUGAACCCUAUAAAUGGUGGGUGGCAUCGGAUUACCGUGGAACACGCGGUUGCCCGGUUGAACGAUUCUGGCCUUGGCGACAUCGAUCAACUCGCCGUCCACGAAGUGCAGGAGAGUGCAUGGAACGUCGGUGGCGCCCUGCGAAAACAUGUAGGGCGUCAGGGAUGCCCAGUCAAAGGCAAGGAGAUGAAGUCAUCGGCCGAGGCUUAGUUAUCGUGAUGGCGUCGAGCUCGGCUAAUGUCGAGGCACCGCCAACGGCGGGCGUGCAAGUGACGGAGGGGCCGCUUGCUGCCGAGGUGCCGGCCGGCGUAUUCUUCCCACACCCGGGUGCAUUAAGCUCCAAUGCCGGCGCCGACGCCGGAGACACCAAUGCCGCCUCCGCGGGAGACACCAAUGGCGCCGGCGCGUUGUGCGAGUUGCUGCCCGUGAAGCUGGGAAUCAGGGGCGGCCCCUGUUGGCCGCCCGCAAUCCACGCCUGCAGCCCCUCAAGCAAGGUAGGCAUAAUGGCGGUGAUCCUCGCUCCCAGUUGGUCUCGCACUUGCUCUUCGACUAUCUCCGGAAUCCACGCCACUUGUGCGUUGAGUUCUUUAACCUUGCGCUUUUGGAUUUCCGAGCUGGUCUUUCUCUCCUUUCGCCCAGCCUUAUAGUAUUCCAACCAUUUCGUGGACAAGCCUUUGCCGGCCACACGACCAGCUGACGACGACUUACUGAACUUAUCAUUGUGUUUCAUUACGUUCAACGCCCUAUUUAAAGUGGUGUCCCAAGGGGAGCUCUAAGACCCCGCACUACUGCUUUCAGUGUCCUGCGGAAGGAACGUGAACCAUUUAGAAAUUUGGCUUCAUUAAUUAGAAUGCAACCAUAUGGAGCUAAUUACGCGGGGGUGUAUUCCUUACCAGAACAAGCUCAAGCGCCUUGGUCUUCGGAUCCGUGUAAAGCUCCUUUGUUACCGGGUCCACCAUGUACCGGGCCCUGACAUAGUUCCUGGUCUGCUUGCCACGGUAUUUAUCGAAGAGGGGCGGUAGGCCUUGCUCGGCACGCUCCGCGUCCUCCUUGUCCCAUAUAGGUUCCGCCACUCUGUAACCGCCGGGACCGAGUGUGUGGUGUCCUAAGUUCAAGUCCCACAUAUCUUUCCCCCACUGACUUGAUUCCACGGAUGCGUUGCUCUCGCACUUGAUCUUGAACUCCAGGUAGUCAGCUUCACUGAUCGAAGGAUUUGUCUCCUUGAUCUUCUCAUAACUAUCACCACUUAGAAUCCUUCUCAUCACCGCGGCUCUCCAAGUAGCCAGGGCCGUGCUCAUCUUCGUGAGGGCGGCACUGUUCACUUUAUUUCCUGAGAGGCGUGUGUUUGCGAAGUCACCGGGGAACUUGUAUCGUUCGUGCAGCUUCAUGAAGAGGAGGUUGCGCAAAUUCCCUCGAUCACGAUGCCUUAGGUUCUCGGUGUUGAUCGAGACAGCGUUCCGGAGAAUGCACCCGAGUUGUCCCGCGUACUCACUGACUAAUUCUUUGGGCGCCGUUGGAUGCCCACUGGAGGACACUUCAGUAAAUUCCUCCUUGACGGUGCCGAGCAUGUUCGGGCGCCGGUCCUUUCGUUGCCUCUUCGGUUGGCUACCAUCUGUGUGUGCGCUGCCAUCAUCAGUGGUGGCAUCCCUGAAGGAAAUAUGCCCUAGAGGCAAUAAUAAAGUUAUUAUUUAUUUUCUUAUAUCAUGAUAAAUGUUUAUUAUUCAUGCUAGAAUUGUAUUAACAGGAAACAUAAUACACGUGUGAAUACAUAGACGAACAGAGUGUCACUAGUUUGCCUCUACUUGACUAGCUCGUUAAUUAAAGAUGGUUAUGUUUCCUAACCAUAGACAUGAGUUGUCAUUUGAUUAACGGGAUCACAUCAUUAGGAGAAUGAUGUGAUUGACUUGACCCAUUCCGUUAGCUUAGCACUCGAUCGUUUAGUAUGUUGCUAUUGCUUUCUUCAUGACUUAUACAUGUUCCUAUGACUAUGAGAUUAUGCAACUCCCGUUUACCGGAGGAACACUUUGUGUGCUACCAAAUGUCACAACGUAACUAGGUGAUUAUAAAGGUGCUCUACAGGUGUCUCCGACGGUACUUGUUGGGUUGGCGUAUUUCGAGAUUAGGAUUUGUCACUCCGAUUGUCGGAGAGGUAUCUCUGGGCCCACUCGGUAAUGCACAUCACUUAAGCCUUGCAAGCAUUGCAACUGAUGAGUUAGUUGCGGGAUGAUGUAUUACGGAACGAGUAAAGAGACUUGCCUGUAACAAGAUUGAACUAGGUAUUGAGAUAGCGACGAUCAAAUCUCGGGCAAGUAACAUACCGAUGACAAAGGGAACAACGUAUGUUGUUAUGCGGUCUGACCGAUAAAGAUCUUCGUAGAAUAUGUGGGAGCCAAUAUGAGCAUCCAGGUUCCGCUAUUGGUUAUUGACCGGAGACGUGUACUCGGUCAUGUCUACAUAGUUCUCGAACUUUAGUUGUCACACUUUGGUUCGGCGGUAUUGUUGGAUGAAGCGGCCCGGACCGACAUUACGCGUACGCUUACGCGAGACGGGUUCUACCGACGUGCUUUGCGCACAGGUGGCUGGCGGGUGUCAGUUUCUCUAACUUUUAGUUGAACCGAGUGUGGCUACGCCCGGUCCUUGAGAAGGUUAAAAAAGCACUAACUUGACAAACUAUCGUUGUGGUUUUGAUGCGUAGGUAAGAACGGUUCUUGCUCAGCCCAUAGCAGCCACGUAAAACUUGCAACAACAAAGUAGAUGACGUCUAACUUGUUUUUGCAGGGCAUGUUGUGAUGUGAUAUGGUCAAGACAUGAUGCUAUAUUUUAUUGUAUGAGAUGAUCAUGUUUUGUAACCGAGUUAUCGGCAACUGGCAGGAGCCAUUUGUCGCUUUAUUGUAUGCAAUGCAAACGCCCUGUAAUGCUUUACUUCAUCACUAAGCGGUAGCGAUAGUCGUAGAAGCAUAAGUUGGCGAGACGACAACGAUGCUGUCGCGCCGAUGACGAUGGUGAUCAUGACGGUGCUUCGGAGAUGGAGAUCACAAGCACAAGAUGAUGAUGGCCAUAUCAUAUCACUUAUAUUGAUUGCAUGUGAUGUUUAUCUUUUAUGCAUCUUAUCUUGCUUUGAUUGACGGUAGCAUUAUAAGAUGAUCUCUCACUAAAUUAUCAAGGUAUAAGUGUUCUCCCUGAGUAUGCACCGUUGCGAAAGUUCUUCGUGCUGAGACAUCACGUGAUGACCGGGUGUGAUAGGCUCUACGUUCAAAUACAACGGGUGCAAAACAGUUGCACACGCGGAAUACUCAGGUUAAACUUGACGAGCCUAGCAUAUAACAGAUAUGGCCUCGGAACACUGAGACCGAAAGGUCGAGCGUGAAUCAUAUAGUAGAUAUGAUCAACAUAGUGAUGUUCACCAUUGAAACUACUCCAUCUCACGUGAUGAUCGGACGUGGUUUAGUUGAUAUGGAUCACGUGAUCACUUAGAGGAUUAGAGGGAUGUCUAUCUAAGUGGGAGUUCUUUAAUAAUUUGAUUAACUGAACUUUACUUUAUCAUGAACUUAGUCCUGGUAGUAUUAGCAUAUCUAUGUUGUAGAUAAAUAGAUCGCGUUUAGCUGCCCUGUUUUAUAUUUGAUAUGUUCCUAGAGAAAACUAAGUUGAAAGAUGUUAGUAGCAAUGAUGCAGAUUGAAUCCGUGAUCUGAGGAUUAUCCUCAUUGCUGCACAGAAAAAUUAUGUCCUUGAUGCACCGCUAGGUGACAGACCUAUUGCAAGAGCAUAUGCAGACGUUAUGAACAUUUUGACAAAAGCUUGGUAUGAUGACUACUUGAUAGUUUAGUGCACCAUGCUUUACGGCUUAGAACUGGGACUUCAAAAAUGUUUUGAACGCCAUAGAGCAUAUAAGAUGUUCCAAGAAUUGAAAUUUGUAUUUCAUACUCAUGCCCGUGUCGAGAGGUAUGAGACCUCUGACAGUACUUUGCCCACAAGAUGGAGGAGAAUUGCUCAGCUAGUGAGCGUGUGCUCAGAAUGUCUUAGUACUACAAUCACUUGAAUCAAGUGGGAGUUAAUCUUCCAGAUAAGAUAGUGAUUGACAGAGUUCUCUAGUCACUAUCACCAAGUUACUAGAACUUCGUGAUGAACUAUAAUAUGCAAGGGAUAAAUGGAAACGAUUCCCAAGCUCUUCGUGAUGCUGAAAUCGACGAAGGUAGAAAUCAAGAAAAGCAUCAAGUGUUGAUGGUUGACAAGACCACUAAGUUUCAAGAAAAGGGCAAAGGGAAGAAGGGGAACUUCAAACAAGAACGGCAAGCAAGUUGCUACUCAAGUGAAGAAGCCCAAGUCUGUACCUAAGCCUGAGACUAAGUGCUUCUACUGCAAAGGGACUGGUCACUGGAAGCGGAACUACCCCAAGUAUUUGGCGGAUAAGAAGGAUGGCUAGGUGAACAAAGGUAUAUUUGAUAUACAGAUUAUUGAUGUGUAUUUUACUAGUGUUCGUAGCAACCCCUCGGUAUUUGAUACGGGUUCAGUUGCUAAGAGUAGUAACUCGAAACGGGAGUUGCAGAAUGAACAGAGACUAGUUAAGGGUGAAGUGACGAUGUGUGUUGGAAGUGGUUCCAAGAUUGAUAUGAUCAUCAUCGCACGCUCCCUACACUUUCGGGAUUAGUGUUGAACCUAAAUAAGUGUUAUUUGGUGUUUGCGUUGAGCAUGAAUAUGAUUUGAUCAUGUUUAUGGCAAUGCGGUUAUUCAUUUAAGUUAGAGAAUAAUUGUUGUUCUAUUUACAUGAAUAAAACCUUCUAUGGUCAUACACCCAAUGAAAAUGGUUUGUUGGAUCUCGAUCGUAGUGAUACACAUAUUCAUAAUAUUGAAGCCAAAAAAAUGCAAAGUUAAUAAUGAUAGUGCAACUCAUUUGUGGCACUGCCGUUUAGGUCAUAUUGGUGUAAAGCGCAUGAAGAAACUCCAUGCUGGUGGGAUUUUGGAAUCACUUGAUUAUGAAUCACUUGAUGCUUGCGAACCAUGCCUUAUGGGCAAGAUGACUAAAGACUCCGUUCUCCGGAACAAUGGAGCGAGCAGCUGACUUAUUGGAAAUAAUACAUACUGAUGUAUGCUAUCUGAUGAUUGUUGAGGCUCGCGGCGGGUAUCGUUAUUUUCUGACCCUCACAGAUGAUUUGAGCAGAUAUGGGUAUAUCUACUUGAUGAAACAUAAGUCUGAAACAUUUGAAAAGUUCAUAUAAUUUCAGAGUGAAGUGGAAAAUCAUCGUAACAAGAAAAUAAAGUUUCUACGAUCUGAUCGUGGAGGAGAAUAUUUGAGUUACGAGUUUGGUCCUCAUUUGAAACAAUGCGGAAUAGUUUCGCAACUCACGCCACCUGGAACACCAUAGCGUAAUGGUGUGUCCGAACAUCGUAACCGUACUUUAUUAGAUAUGGUGCAAUCUAUGAUGUCUCUUACCGAUUUACCACUAUUGUUUUGGGGUUAUGCAUUAGAGACACCUACAUUCACGUUAAAUAGGGCACCAUCUAAAUCCGUUGAGACGACACAUUAUGAACUUUGGUUUGGCAAGAAACCAAAAGUUGUUGUUUCUUAAAGUUUGGGGUUGCGAUACUUAUGUGAAAAAGUUUCAUCCUGAUAAGCUCAAACCCAAAUCGAAAAAUAUGUCUUCAUAGAAUACCCAAAGGAGGCAGUUGGGUACACCUUCUAUCACAGAUCCAAAAGCAAGAUAUUCGUUGCUUAUAAUGGAUCCUUUCUAGAGAAGGAGUAUCUCUCGGAAGAAGUGAGUGGGAGGAAAGUAGAACUUUAUGAGGUAACUGUACCUGCUCCCUUAUUGGAAAGUAGUUCAUCACAGAAAUCUGUUCCUGUGACUCCUACACCAAUUAGUGAGGAAGCUAAUGAUGAUGAUCAUGUAACUUCAGAUCAAGUUGCUACCGAACCUUGUAGGUCAACCAGAGUGAGAUCCGCACCAGAGUGGUAUGGUAAUCCUGUUCUGGAGGUCAUGUUACUUGACCAUGACGAACCUACGAACUAUGAGGAAGCGAUGAUGAGCCCAGAUUCCGCAAAAUGGCUUGAGGCCAUGAAAUCUGAGAUGGGAUCCAUGUAUGAGAACAAAGUAUGGACUUUGACUGACUUGCCCGAUGAUUGGUGAGCCAUUGAGAUUAAAUGGAUCUUCAAGAGGAAGACGGACUCUGAUAGUAGUGUUACUAUCUACAAAGCUAGAAUUGUCGCAAAAAGGUUUUCGACAAGUUCAAGGUGUUGACUACGAUGAGAGUUUCUCACUCGUAUCUAUGCUUAAGUCUAUCCGAAUCAUGUUAGCAAUUGCUGCAAUUUAUGAAAUCUGGCAAAUGGAUAAACAAAACUGCAUUCCUUAAUGGAUUUAUUAAAGAAGAGUUGUAUAUGAUGCAACCAGAAGGUUUUUUCAAUCCUAAAGGUGCUAACAAAAUGUGCAAGCUCCAGCGAUCUAUCUAUGGACUGGUGCAAGCAUAUCGGAGUCGGAAUAUACGCUUUGAUGAGUUGAUCAAAGCAUAUAGUUUUAUACAGACUUGCGGUGAAGCCUGUAUUUACAAGAAAGUGAGUGGAAGCACUACAACAUUUCUGAUAAGUAUAUGUGAAUGACAUAUUGUUGAUCGGAAAUAAUGUAGAAUUAUUCGGCAAAGCAUAAAGGAGUGUUUAAAAGGAGUUUUUCAAAGAAAGACCUCGGUGAAGCUGCUUACAUAUUCAGCAUCAAGAUCUAUAGAGAUAGAUCAAGACGCUUGAUAUGUUUUUUCAAUGAGUACAUACCUUGACAAGAUUUUGAAGUAGUUCAAAAUGGAACAGUCAAAGAAAGAGUUCUUUCCUGUGUUACAAGGUGUGAAAUUGAGUAAGACUCAAAGCCCGACCACGGCAGAAGAUAGAAAGAGAAUGAAAGUCAUUCCCUAUGCAUCAGCCAUAGGUUCUAUAAAGUAUGCCAUGCUGUGUACCAGAUCCAUUGUAUACCCUACACUGAUUUUGGCAAGGGAGUACAAUAGUGAUCUAGGAGUAGAUCACUGGACAGCGGUCAAAAUUAUCCUUAGUGGAAUAAGGAUAUGUUUCUCGAUUAUGGAGGUGACAAAAGGUCCGUCGUAAAGGGUUACGUCGAUACAAGUUUUUGACACUGAUCCAGAUGACUCUAAGUCUCACCCUGGAUACAUAUUGAAAGUGGGAGCAAUUAGCUAAAGUAGCUUCGUGCAGAGUAUUGUAGACAUAGAAAUUUGCAAAAUACAUACGGAUCUGAAUUUUGGCAGACCCGUCGACUAAGCUUCUCUCACAAGCAAAACAUGAUCACACCUUAGUACUCUUUGGGUGUUAAUCACAUAGAGAUGUGAACUAGAUUACUGACUUUAGUAAACCCUUUGAGUGUUGGUCACAUAACGAUGUGAACUAUGGGUAUUAAUCAUAUGAUGAUGUGAACUCUUGAUGUUAAAUCACACGGCGAUGUGAUCUAGAUUAUUGACUCUAGUGCAAGUGGGAGACUGAAGGAAAUAUGCCCUAGAGGCAAUAAUAAAGUUAUUAUUUAUUUCCUUAUAUCAUGAUAAAUGUUUAUUAUUCAUGCUAGAAUUGUAUUAACCGGAAACAUAAUACAUGUGUGAAUACAUAGACAAACAGAGUGUCACUAGUAUGCCUCUACUUGACUAGCUUGUUAAUUAAAGAUGGUUAUGUUUCCUAACCAUAGACAUGAGUUGUCAUUUGAUUAACGGGAUCACAUCAUUAGGAGAAUGAUGUGAUUGACUUGACCCAUUCCGUUAGCUUAGCACUCGAUCGUUUAGUAUGUUGCUAUUGCUUUCUUCAUGACUUAUACAUGUUCCUAUGACUAUGAGAUUAUGCAACUCCCGUUUACCGGAGGAACACUUUGUGUGCUACCAAACGUCACAACGUAACUGGGUGAUUAUAAAGGUGCUCUACAGGUGUCUCCGAAGAUACUUGUUGGGUUGGCGUAUUUCGAGAUUAGGAUUUGUCACUCUGAUUGUCGGAGAGGUAUCUCUGGGCCCACUCGGUAAUGCACAUCACUUAAGCCUUGCAAGCAUUGCAACUAAUGAGUUAGUUGCGGGAUGAUGUAUUACGGAAUGAGUAAAGAGACUUGCCGGUAACGAGAUUGAACUAGGUAUUGAGAUACCGACGAUCAAAUCUCGGGCAAGUAACAUAUCGAUGACAAAGGGAACAACGUAUGUUGUUAUGCAGUCUGACCGAUAAAGAUCUUCAUAGAAUAUGUGGGAGCCAAUAUGAGCAUCCAGGUUCCGCUAUUGGUUAUUGACCGGAGACGUGUACUCGGUCAUGUCUACAUAGUUCUCGAACCCAUAGGGUCAGCACGCUUAACGUUUCAAUGACAGUUAUAUUAUGAGUUUAUAUGUUUUGAUGUACCGAAGGUUGUUCGGAGUCCCGGAUGUGAUCACAGACAUGACGAGGAGUCUCGAAAUGGUCGAGACAUGAAGAUUGAUAUAUUGGAAGCCUAUAUUUGGAUAUCGGAAGUGUUCCAGGUGAAAUCGGGAUUUUACCGGAGUACCGGAGGGGUUACCGGAACCCCCCCGGGGGUUACUGGGCCAUAGUGGGGCUUAGUUGAGAAGAGGAGAGGCGGCCAGGGCAAGGGCCGCGUGCCCCUCCCCCUGUCCGAAUAGGACAAGGAGAGGGGGGCGGCGCCCCCCCUUCCUUCUUCUCCUCCACCUCUUUCCCCCUCUUCUCCUAAUCCUACAAGGAAUAGGGAGGGAGUCCUACUCCUGGUGGGAGUAGGACUCCUCCUGGCGCUCCCCCUCCUGGCCGGCCGCACCUCCCCCCUUGCUCCUUCAUAUACGGGGGAAAGGGGGCACCCUAGAGACACAACAAUUGAUCGUUUGAUCUUUUAGCCGUCUGCGGUGCCCCCCUCCACCAUAGUCCACCUCGAUAAUACUGUAGCGGUGCUUAGGCGAAGCCCUGCGUCGGUAGAACUUCAUCAUCGUCACCACGCCGUCAUGCUGAUGAAACUCUCCCUCAACACUCGGCUGGAUCGGAGUUCGAGGGACGUCAUCGGGCUGAACGUGGGCUGAACUCGGAGGUGCCGUGCGUUCGGUACUUGAUCGGUCGGAUCGUGAAGACGUAUGACUACAUCAACCGUGUUGUGCUAACGUUCCGCUUUCGGUCUACGAGGGUACGUGGACAACAGUCUCCCCUCUCGUUGCUAUGCAUCACCAUGAUCUUGCGUGUGCGUAGGAAAUAUUUUGAAAUUACUACGUUCUCCAACAAUCCCCGGCGGCACCAUCAGUGGUGUCAUCCCCGACGCCACUAGAGGUUGUGUAGUCGGGAUCGGUGUCUUCCGCGGCGUCCUCAUAGCGGUGAGGUUCUUCCUCCAUCUCCUGGGACAGCUCCCAGAAUGACUUGCCCGAACCGCUGGCCUCAUCGUUGUCGGCCAUGUUCGCUCUAAAUAGGAAACAAGGCUACUAGAGUUAUUGGAUGAGAUCAAGGUAGUAUCUAUUCUUCUAUCCUAUAUAUUUUCACAUUACAGGUUAUAAACACCCCUUUAUCCAAAAGAUUGUUCCAAGUGCACUAUUGCUAUCCUACUAAGUGCACUAUUGCAGGUUAUAUAUUUUCUAUCCUACUAAGUGCACUAUUGCUAAACCUGACUCAACUUAAAGUAGCAUUCAUGAUGAAAGGAAACAUGAAACCAUGCUUUCAGCAAACUCUCAAAAGAAAUCAAAGAAUGGCCAAUACCGAGUAUCAUUUACUUUAGUUGUAUAUUAAUACUCUGCUAAUCAACAUUGAAGGAGUUUGGACAUUUUGUGUAUAACAAACAUUACUUUAUUCAUAUAGCAUGAUGAUGCUUUUACCCCUUGAACUGCAGCAUAGACCAUGCAUUUAAUCACUUUGCCACAUACACAACAGACAAAGUACCCUAGGCAGUACUAGAUACUAGCAAAUAUAAGGGCAAAAAUCAAAUCAUUUGAUCUACAGACUGCACAUUAGCAGUCCAAGGCGCAAACAAACCAAAAAAGGUGAAUAGACUUAACAAAGCAGCAAAAGGAGCAGGAACACAAGGCCAUCAACAGUAGGUUGCAGAUGACAUUACACUACAGCUGACCAGCCUAUCCAGAUAUCAUUUUAAACACCACACCACAGGAGCUCCCCUGGGUCAAGUGGCCAGGUUACUACAAUUUUUAGGAACUGUCAAAAUUUACAGGAGAUUACACAUAACAGACAAAGCUGUGAUCCUUUACUCCUAUUUGACUACAGACAAGCACCAAACUACCAUCAUCAGAAGAAUACAUGGUGUUGUAGUAACAACAAAUAGACCAUAUGCGCAGAUAUAAGCAAUUUUGAACAAUGCUCCCAGGUAAAAGCCAUUCAUGCUGAUUAAUUUUUGUUUCGGUUGAGAAUCGGGCACCUUCUAGGUCAAGAAAAUUGGGCAUGACCUUUGCUAAUUUUCUUGACCUAGGAGUACCCCAUUCUCAACCGUAACAGAAAUUAAUCAACAUUUCAGGAGAAAGGGGCAACUAUUUGUCCCUGCAAACCACAGCAUUGGAAUAGUACCAAACUGGUUCAUGUAAUCCACUUAAUAUCAAAACAGUAGCUUAAAGGUUCAAGCUUUCGCCAGAUCAUUCAAUAGAGCUACAAUCCAGGCUUCUGUCAGCAGUUCAAACAAACUAUAAACCAAGCAAGGGCUGACUACCACCAGGCAGCUAGUAGGAACAACUGCAGCUGGCACUACCACGCAUAAGCACUAAUAGAUCCAAUGAUUGCAGUAGGUGCAGGCAUAUCAUACACUUUCUUACCUUGUCCUGAAGUUGCAACCACCAGACCAGAGAGAAGUCGCUCCUCCUCUUCUUCCCUCAGCCCCAAAUUCGCCUGCAAUAACAACCACGAUUCCGGUCAGGGUAAAUUCAUCACAGCAUGUAUGGAUAUUAACCACUGCACAUCACAUUCGCAUCAGUACUUAUACUUGCCACUGAAGGAGCCUCAGUUCAGUUCAGUUUGACACUCGGACAGUAGCAAAACUCAGGGGAAAUGGUUCAGCAUAAUGCUCUCUAAUCACACAACAGCGAUGGCGGUUCUGAAUCUGAGAUACUUUGUGUCUCCGUGGAGAUUGCUUUCCAUGGGACACAGCUAGUUGCUGUUACUUGAUAAACAACUGCAUCUGGCUAACUGAAAUAUGGCACGCUCUGAACCUAAGCUACUCUGCUUCUUGGCGAACAUGUGAACCUUCGUCCAGAAAAGGAAAUCCCCUUUUCAUCUAUUUGAUUCAAAGACCGGAACUUAUGUUUGAGGAGUAAGCAGUAACUAUAACAUAACUGGAUAAGAAAUUGAGAUUAAAAAAAACAUAACUAUAACAAAACAGAGCCAGAGCAGAUACAUUCUUGCACCACUUGACAGAAUGCAUUGGCAAGUGUAUGCAUCAUACUGUCAUUUCGCUAUCACUAUGAAUGGCUAGUGCAAGAGUCAAGCAAUGCUCGGCAGAUCCGGCGUUUGCGGGCACGACGAUGCGCACGGGCUAGCGCAUUGGGGUCUACAGCGGUGAGUUCGGCCCCAACGAGCACGAUGGCUACGGGCGCGGCAAGUCGAGAAGGAAGAGGGGAGAGGAGGCGGAGCUCACCGGGGAGGCACAAGGAGGCCCUGCGAGAGCUUAGUAGCAGUAGAGGUGGCCAGAGUUGAGGAAGACGGCGGCGACCCGAGGAAGAAGACAAGGUGGAUCCGGUGCUGUGCGGCUCCUCGGCUCGCGCGCGUCGACGUAGAGGUAGCAGCGGAUGCCGGUGGAGUGGUUGGACCAGUCGGAGGAGCACGGGGGAAGGUGGUCGCCGCGGUGGUGGGCGACGAACGGCGACGGAGGCGAUCGGGCGCAUGGAUCUGGCGAGGGAGGGAGAGAGGCCAGAGGGAGAGGGGAG